AAUAUUGGACAAUGGGCGAAAGCCUGAUCCAGCCAUGCCGCGUGUGUGAAGAAGGUCUUCGGAUUGUAAAGCACUUUAAGUUGGGCGGAAGAGUUGUAGGCUAAUACCUUGCAAUUUUGACGUUACCAACAGAAUAAGCACCGGCUAACUUCGCGCCAGCAGCCGCGGUAAUACGAAGGGUGCAAGCGUUAAUCGGAAUUACUGGGCGUAAAGCGGGCUUAGGUGGUUCGUUAAGUUGGAAGUGAAAGCCCCGGGCUUAACCUGGGAAUUGCUUUCAAAACUGACGAGCUAGAGUACGGUAGAGGGUAGUGGAAUUUCCUGUGUAGCGGUGAAAUGCGUAGAUAUAGGAAGGAACACCAGUGGCGAAGGCGACCACCUGGGCUAAUACUGACACUGAGGUGCGAAAGCGUGGGGAGCAAACAGG
Molecule: ribosomal RNA, 424 nt
Filed under: uncultured bacterium
Lineage: Bacteria
Description: partial 16S ribosomal RNA
Rfam family: Bacterial small subunit ribosomal RNA
Source: RNAcentral